This 3242-nucleotide long non-coding RNA is filed under the name Medicago truncatula (barrel medic). RNAcentral describes it as "long non-coding RNA (MTRU_LNC000826)". The stretch from base 1948 to 2079 matches the Rfam family "small nucleolar RNA snoR143". The record is from RNAcentral. Lineage: Eukaryota; Viridiplantae; Streptophyta; Magnoliopsida; Fabales; Fabaceae.
UUUUGAAUGGGAAGCAUUUGUUGUUUACUUGUUGAUGAUUUUGUUUCGAAUUAUCCAAAAUAGGCUUGUUUCAAUUUCCCCUAACCUAACCAAACUGGAUCGACACCCGAGUUUUUGGUCUCUAUGCCCGAUUAAUUGAUUCAGUAAAUCGGGCAUGGAAACCGCUAACUUGGCGUAAAAUCUUAUUUGGUUAGGUUGUUGGAGAUUGAAUCAAUUGACCAACUACUGAUCAUGUUUUAUUACAAAUAUGGCGGGUUCUGUUGUAAUUGGGCAAGUAGAGAUGGAAUCCAGGGAUGCUGCGUUUUUUUGUCUCACCAUUCUACUAAUUCCAUCUCACAGUUUCUUAUUUGUUAAUAUCUGCUAUUCCAAUUUAAUUUUUUUAUGUAUUUUUUUUUAUUUUGACAGAAAGUUCGGGGUUUUGUAAUAUGGAAGAAGACUCUUGUUCUCUUUUAGUAAUUUGAUACAAGUUAUGGGCUUUUACACUUGGAUAUUAAUCAAUACUGAGGUAUGUGGGGAUGGUAUAAAUUGCAUGCUUUUAAGGCAUAGAAUUGCAUGUUAAGUAUUGAUCCUGAGAAUUUGCUAUGACUUGAUGGUAUUGAUGAGCCAUUACAGUGUUAUCUUGGAGUAAUAAUUAGCCAGAGCAUAUGUGCAACGGUGAAAGUGUCCGCUUCAGAAAUGUUUAUACCUAAUUUCUUGAAAGUUGAAUGCAAGCGAAAUCUUAUCUUAGAGUAAUAUUUACCUUUUUGUUUACAUUUGUUGAAUCACUUUAAAUUGGGAAGUGAACAUCGAAUCGAAACAUUUGUGGAGUCUUAGUUAAGACUGUUCAGUUGCCCCCUUUAGUUCAAUAUUUUUGAAGUUAUAUAAGUAAGUUAUCACAGAUAUACUUGCUAUUAAAGAUGUAGCAAGUUCAAUGAUUUCAAGUCUUAGAGUAAAAGUGUACAAACCAAAUAAAUUUCAUAUGAAUACAGACUAAAUAAGUCAUAGAGUACAGUGUACAAACCAAAUAAAUCUCAUGUUUCAGUAUUAUAAUUUAUUAUAGUUUAAUCCUCAAAUAGUUGGUCUUAGAGACGAGUCUCUAGAAUGGUUGAAGUAAAAAUAGGUUUUGGAUGAUGUGAGAUACAAAUCUGAAUUAUCCCUUGAGAGUAAUAUAAGGAGUCACUGGAGUGUAUACCUUUAUUUGUCUCCGAUCUGUUUGUGGAACCAAUUAUGUUUUUAGAUACUGUUUUUGCUCGUCACCCGGAUGCAUCGACUAUGGUUACAGUAUCGGAAUAGUUCCUUGUGCAGAAUUUAACUUGAAUCAUGUCUCUUUUAUUCAAUCAUCACCAAUGUUUUCUUUUUAACAUGUAUAAUGUAUUUAUAGUUUAUACUGUCAUCUGCAAAUUGUAUGUGGGUACUUCAUUAAUUGUUCAUUGCUUUCAGCUGUUUUGCUGAAAGUAGAAAAAAGGGGCGAUGAUUACAAUGAGAGAGGUCUUUAGUGGGAAAUACCCUAUUUGUUCGGAAAAUCAUAACCCAACUUCUAUCAGAGUUAGGAUCCUCUCCAUUUAUCAAUAUCAACAAAAAAAUUAAAAGAAAAUGAAAAUGAAGAAGAUUAGAACUUGAACGUGCCGCCAUACCCUUUUCACCAAAAGGGUCUGGCUUUGGCAUCUCAUAUUCUAUCUUCGUCUUCUUUCUCCUCUUCCUCUUUCUCUUACUGUCCCUUCAUAUUGAAUUGGGUUUUUUCCACAGUGACAGAGCUUUCUUAAUUUACACUUGAUAUGAGCCCCUCAACUUUCUGAUUUUCCAUCAUUAUUAUUAUUAUUAUUAACUUAUUUGUUUUUAAAAAUUAGUUUUGUUCAGAGUUGUAGUGUUUUUUCUUGCGCUGAUUUUAUUUUGGAUGAGGAAACACUUCAUGUUCUCGUCAAAGAUUCAGUGCGGACAGAAAAAGCUUGAUUUUAGCUACUGCUUGUUUCUGACGAACAUAUUUUUCAGAAUAUGGUGGAUUUGUUGUAAUUCGGCAGCGGCUCGACAACCGUGGAGAUGGAAUCCACAGAUGUUGAGUUUUUUCUUGUCUCACACUUCUACUAAUUCCAUCUCACAUUUUUUUCUUAUUUGUUAUCUGCUAAUUAAAUUAAUUGUUCAUUUGGAUGUAAUAUUUUUGAUAUUGAAAUAACUUUUUGGGGAUUAAUAAAAAGGAAGAAGACAAAGUAUUAUGUAAUCAAUUUGCUGCUUUUGCAUUUGCACUCUUUUUUUUUUUCCUUUCUUUUAAUUUGAUAAAAAUUAAUAGUUUUGAAUGGGAAGCAUUUGUUGUUUACCUGUUAUUGACGGUGUAGCAACUUCAAUGGUUUCAAUGCAGCAGAUAUGAAAACUUAAUAUUAAUCAAUGUUCCUGAGACUGGAAAGGCAAUCGUAUAGAAAUGCAUGAUAAGCAAUGUUCCUAAGAAUUUGGUGAAACAUUGAUGAGUCUUUACCGUGUGAACUUUGUGUUGUGGCAUAUUGGAUUGAGGAAUUUUUCAAGGGCUGUCUGUGUACCAUUUUUUAAGUUAAAAUCAUGUGCUAGUUAUAGAAAAACAUAUCACUUGUUUGUGACUGUAUAUACAAGCAAGUGCUGUACUUUGCCUCUCUUUGUUCUUGCAUGAAAUGAUGGAUAUACUGCGUCUUUGCAAUUGGGUGAUCGUUGAUUAUGUUUUUGUUUUUAAGGUGCUGCUUCAGAUAUCAUGCAAUGCACCUCUGGUAGUCUGGUUAAGUUUUUGUUCAAUAAGUUAUUAUAGGAAAAGGAUAUAAACAUUUACAAGUUAACAAGUUAAACGUUGAACUUUCUGAGUUAAGUUUCAGCUAAUUGCCAAUGCUCUAUUCUGUAUAAAGCGUGGGUUAGAUUCAUUGUUCAUUGCUUUCAGCUGAUUUGAUGAAGGUAUAAAGAAAAGGGAGAUUAUUAUAACGAGAGAGGCCUUUAGUGGGAAAUAAUAAUCAAUUCAAUCGGAAAAUCAGAACCCUAACUUCUAUCAGAGUUAGGAUUUGCUCCAUUUACCAAUAUCAACGAAAAGUGAAAAGAAAGUGAAAGCAAAGGAGGUCAGAACUGGAAGGUGCCGUCACACCCUUGUCACCAAAGGGUUUUGACUUUGGCAUUUUUUUUUAUUUUUAUUUUUUUGUUUUUUGUCUCACACUUCUACUGAUUCCAUAUCACAUUUUCUUAUGUUUAAGUGUUCAUUUUCAUGCAAGUUAACAAUUUUGAUUUGAAUUUCGGGGUUUUAUAAUAAGGAAGAAGAC